UGUCAUUUAAACAAUUUUACUAAUUCAUACUCUUUAUUUUUCUUUCAGAUGCUGUAGAGAAAGCGUACAGAAGAAGAAAAUUGAAAGUUGAGUAUAGUUUACUUUACAUAGGCCCCCUACCCUGUCAUUUAAACAAUUUUACUAAUUCAUACUCUUUAUUUUUCUUUCAGAUGCUGUAGAGAAAGCGUACAGAAGAAGAAAAUUGAAAGUUGAGUAUAGUUUACUUUACAUAGGCCCCCUACCCUGUCAUUUAAACAAUUUUACUAAUUCAUACUCUUUAUUUUUCUUUCAGAUGCUGUAGAGAAAGCGUACAGAAGAAGAAAAUUGAAAGUUGAGUAUAGUUUACUUUACAUAGGCCCCCUAUAUUGUCAUUUAAACAAUUUUACUAAUUCAUACACUUUAUUUUUCUUUCAGAUGCUGUAGAGAAAGCGUACAGAAGAAGAAAAUUGAAAGUUGAGUAUAGUUUACUUUACAUAGGCCCCCUACCCUGUCAUUUAAACAAUUUUACUAAUUCAUACUCUUUAUUUUUCUUUCAGACAUUAUUAUAUAAUUUAGUGUCUGACAUUUAUGAUUUAAUUACUGUAUUUUGUUAAAUUUUGCUGAAUCAAUUAUUAAUUAAAGUAACUUGAUUGGACAAAGAAUUAAUUUUAGAAUUUAGUUUGAUAUAUAAAGAAGUUGUAGUUAAAGAAAUGUCUCCCCAUACUUAUUUUUAUUCAUUCCCUAGGCUAGAUCUCUUUAACUUACCUGGUUCAAUUACAUGUAUAGCAAAAAGGUGAACUUUUGCCAUCAUUUUGUAUACAUUAUAGAAGUAAGAUGUGUUACAUUGUACAUAAUUGCCAGUGACUCAACUGUCCACCAGAGCUCACAUGAAUUGGAAGUUGGCAAUUAUAGCUACACAACUAUAAAACCUUCAACAAUGAGAAAAACUUAUAUCCAACAUGAAAAAUACCAAACAAUUCAAAUAAAGACACCAAAGACAUAAUUAAUAAUAAAACAAUUUAUUAAGAAAAUAUGACAGAUAUAAACGAACAACCACUGAACUACAGGCUCUUUAUUAUCAGUAUCUGUUUGUCAUAUUAAUAUCUGUUAUAUUAUAUCUGUUAACAUUUCAUUAAAAUAUCCAUUAACUCACACCCCUAUUCAAAUUGAAACUAAACUUAAUAACAAUAUUUACUUAACUGUUAAUUUAUCAUUGCAUCAUGUAAUACCUUUUAUAUUAAUUCUUUCAGGACAUGCAACUUUUAUUGGAAAGGAGACAGAAAAUGUGCUGUCAUUCGAUUUAAGAAGCAAGACAUGUAAGAUUUGUGAGUUCCAUCAAAACAGAAAAGAGACAGUUCUGGAGCAUCAGUGUCAUUUGAUUUGGCAUGGGUCUAGUAAAUUCAUGGAGGCAGAUGUGGCAGUGUUCAUGGCCCACAGAUUAAAAGAUGAUGUAUGUGAAAUGAAUGUCAUAUUUAUAGAUUAUCAUUGAUUAUCUCAACGAGAUUGAUUUUCUCGCUUGAGCUGGUACAGUUGAGAUGACCAAUGAUAAUCUGUUUAUCGCUAUUUUACCUAUGACGACGUUGUCAGUUUCAAUGUCAAUUUCGUUAGCAACGCCACAUGACCUCCUUAGUUUCUAGCGAUAAUGUUUCCAUCUCAAGCAAUAAGCAUGAUAUGAAAAUAAUCACAAAAAAAAGAUCAAAGUAAAAAUGUACAAAAUAGCGAUAAAUACUGAUAAUGAUGCAGCAACAUCUGAGCCAGACUUGAAGUUGAGUUUGGAAACCUUCAGAAAAAAGAUGGCCAGAACCAUGUGAAGACAAAUCAACAAGCUUGUGUAAUAUUUCAAAGAGUUACAAAGAAUUGCAAAAGAAUGAAACAAAACAAUAUAUAUUGAGGUGCUUUAUGUAUGCCAUUAAGGGAUGUGACAAAGAAGAUGACAUUAAGAUUGGGCUGCAAAGAAUUGUACCACAUAUUUUGGGAUCACAUGAUUGAAGGUUUAAAGGUUAAAUUGAAUAAUUUAGUGCAAAAAUUGAUUGGUAGAAGUAAUUCUUUAAAUGAUCUUGGAUCUAGACAGUCAAAUGAAAGCUUUAACCAGCUUGUAUCUGUAAAGGCACCUAAAUCAAGGUAUUAACAUUAAAGAAUACAGUUAAAGUUAACCACAGACUGGAAAAUCUUGUUGUGAAUCUAAAAUUGCCCACAUGAGAACAAAGAUGAAAACUGUUGUGGCUUCAGGAAAAAACAUGAUAACUGACAAAGAUAUGAAAGUUAGUAUUGAUGAAGGGUCAAGUGUUGUUGGUUGUCAGGAUCAAGAACUAUUUAGAUAUAUUUUGUAAAUCCUUCAAGUUGUUAUUCAAGACAAAAUUACACAGAUACCACCAUUCCACAGAAUAUGGAAUUUGGACAUUGAUGGAUUAGAGUUAAAGCCAUCUCAUAUUACAAUUGAGGAUGAAGAUAUCUUUUAUAUAAGGCCAUCUGAUAUGAUCAAUUUGCAGCUAUCAAAAGUUAAAAUUGCCGAACAAAUUCAAAGAUAUAUUUGUCUAUCUGUCAAAUCCUCCAUAAACAUAAUGUAUAUAAAGGAAAUGAUCAUGCUAGAAUUAAAAAUCUGAUACAAUUAUCAACUGAGAAAAGUAUGGAAGUAGAUGUCCCAGUGAAUGUAUUUGAUGAUGAUACUAGUGCAAAUAGCUGGGUAAAGGGUUGGUGGAAAAUAAAAUUGCAGCAGAGUCUUGCCACAGUAUGAAUGCUGCAGCUAAAGAAAAUUGCAGAUUUUAUAAGGUGAGAAAUA
Mytilus trossulus (common blue mussel) is the source of this 2758-nucleotide long non-coding RNA. RefSeq lists it as uncharacterized. The record is from RefSeq and is a predicted model, not a curated record. The transcript has 8 exons. Lineage: Eukaryota; Metazoa; Mollusca; Bivalvia; Mytilida; Mytilidae.